RNAcentral lists this ribosomal RNA (545 nucleotides) under Candida albicans. RNAcentral's name for it is "LSU rRNA". It matches the Rfam family "Eukaryotic large subunit ribosomal RNA", at positions 98 to 658 of the family's 3401-position model. Lineage: Eukaryota; Fungi; Ascomycota; Pichiomycetes; Serinales; Debaryomycetaceae. The record is from RNAcentral.
GCGGCAAAAGCUCAAAUUUGAAAUCUGGCGUCUUUGGCGUCCGAGUUGUAAUUUGAAGAAGGUAUCUUUGGGCCCGGCUCUUGUCUAUGUUCCUUGGAACAGGACGUCACAGAGGGUGAGAAUCCCGUGCGAUGAGAUGACCCGGGUCUGUGUAAAGUUCCUUCGACGAGUCGAGUUGUUUGGGAAUGCAGCUCUAAGUGGGUGGUAAAUUCCAUCUAAAGCUAAAUAUUGGCGAGAGACCGAUAGCGAACAAGUACAGUGAUGGAAAGAUGAAAAGAACUUUGAAAAGAGAGUGAAAAAGUACGUGAAAUUGUUGAAAGGGAAGGGCUUGAGAUCAGACUUGGUAUUUUGCAUGCUGCUCUCUCGGGGGCGGCCGCUGCGGUUUACCGGGCCAGCAUCGGUUUGGAGCGGCAGGAUAAUGGCGGAGGAAUGUGGCACGGCUUCUGCUGUGUGUUAUAGCCUCUGACGAUACUGCCAGCCUAGACCGAGGACUGCGGUUUUUACCUAGGAUGUUGGCAUAAUGAUCUUAAGUCGCCCGUCUUGAA